AUUCUAUCUACAGCUGCUGAAGUUUCCAGUUACCAUGCAGGAAGACAGGUAGGAGGAGAUCAUCUGGCAAAGAGAUUUGCAGAGUGUCGGGUGACCGGCAAAGAGAUCUGCAAAGUGUCAGUUGAAGACGACGGGAGGAGUCGCAGAGGAAUUAGUGACUGGAGAAUAGCAUGCAGGAGUGGGUGAUCCCUGAAUAGCUGCCCUGGGAGGAGAGCUGCGGACACAUGCUCCAAAUGUUGGGACAAA
Molecule: long non-coding RNA, 246 nt
Organism: Pseudophryne corroboree (corroboree frog)
Lineage: Eukaryota; Metazoa; Chordata; Amphibia; Anura; Myobatrachidae
Exons: 3
Source: RefSeq, a predicted model, not a curated record